This 513-nucleotide ribosomal RNA is filed under the name Dinophysis acuminata. RNAcentral describes it as "partial Bacterial small subunit ribosomal RNA". It matches the Rfam family "Bacterial small subunit ribosomal RNA", at positions 1 to 566 of the family's 1533-position model. The record is from RNAcentral. Lineage: Eukaryota; Dinophyceae; Dinophysales; Dinophysaceae.
UUGAGAGUUUGAUCCUGGCUCAGAACGAACGCUGGCGGCAGGCCUAACACAUGCAAGUCGAGCGCACCUUCGGGUGAGCGGCGGACGGGUUAGUAACGCGUGGGAACAUACCCCUUUCUACGGAAUAGCCUCGGGAAACUGAGAGUAAUACCGUAUAAGCCCUUCGGGGGAAAGAUUUAUCGGGAAGGGAUUGGCCCGCGUUAGAUUAGAUAGUUGGUGGGGUAAUGGCCUACCAAGUCUACGAUCUAUAGCUGGUUUUAGAGGAUGAUCAGCAACACUGGGACUGAGACACGGCCCAGACUCCUACGGGAGGCAGCAGUGGGGAAUCUUAGACAAUGGGCGCAAGCCUGAUCUAGCCAUGCCGCGUGUGUGAUGAAGGUCUUAGGAUCGUAAAGCACUUUCGCCAGGGAUGAUAAUGACAGUACCUGGUAAAGAAACCCCGGCUAACUCCGUGCCAGCAGCCGCGGUAAUACGGAGGGGGUUAGCGUUGUUCGGAAUUACUGGGCGUAAAGC